CUAGUCUCAGCACGUCGUUGCUCAUCAACGACACGGCUUUGACAGGCCGUAAC
Pseudomonas putida S11 is the source of this 53-nucleotide non-coding RNA. Lineage: Bacteria; Pseudomonadati; Pseudomonadota; Gammaproteobacteria; Pseudomonadales; Pseudomonadaceae. The record is from Rfam.